RNAcentral lists this ribosomal RNA (253 nucleotides) under uncultured bacterium. Its description in RNAcentral is "partial 16S ribosomal RNA". It matches the Rfam family "Bacterial small subunit ribosomal RNA", at positions 524 to 776 of the family's 1533-position model. The record is from RNAcentral.
UACAGAGGUCCCAAGCGUUACUGAGAUUCACUGGGUUUAAAGGGUGCGUAGGUGGCGUGUUAAGUCAGUUGUGAAAUCCCCGGGCUCAACCCGGGAAUAGCUUCUGAUACUGGCGUGCUUGAGGCCGGUAGAGGUUACUGGAACGGAAGGUGGAGCGGUGAAAUGCGUAGAUAUCGUCUGGAACGCCAGUGGUGAAGACGGGUAACUGGACCGGAUCUGACACUGAGGCACGAAAGCGUGGGGAGCGAACGGG